RNAcentral lists this ribosomal RNA (195 nucleotides) under uncultured bacterium. RNAcentral describes it as "partial 16S ribosomal RNA". It matches the Rfam family "Bacterial small subunit ribosomal RNA", at positions 1306 to 1500 of the family's 1533-position model. The record is from RNAcentral.
UGCAACCCGCCUGUAUGAAGUUGGAAUCGCUAGUAAUCGCGGAUCAGCAUGCCGCGGUGAAUACGUUCCCGGGCCUUGUACACACCGCCCGUCACACCAUGAGAGUCGGGAACACCCGAAGUCCGUAGCCUAACCGCAAGGGGGGCGCGGCCGAAGGUGGGUUCGAUAAUUGGGGUGAAGUCGUAACAAGGUACC